Pimephales promelas (fathead minnow) is the source of this 572-nucleotide non-coding RNA. The record is from RefSeq and is a predicted model, not a curated record. NCBI's taxonomy places the organism in Eukaryota, Metazoa, Chordata, Actinopteri, Cypriniformes, Leuciscidae.
CCUCUCCUCUCGCUCCAGUGCGCAGGGAGGAGUGUGUGUGGGGAACAGCAGGACCGGCAGCUCGUGUGUGUCCCGCCCGGAGCGAUGCACAUGCCGGCCCAGCGGCGGACCAGUCCACACACACACCACAGACCCGCUCAUGCUUCUGCCAGCAGUCGUCAGUGUGUCCGGCACACGGCCUCCAGGGGGCAGUCCAGCUGUUCAUGCAUUUAAACUUCACUCACACCAAACAUCAUGAUCUGAGGUCAUGUGACUUCAUCUGUGAGACCUUGUGGGAAACUCGCAUCACUGCAAAAUACUGAAAGAAAUGGACCACACAGCUGUUUUUAAUUGAAAGAGAACAGAACGAGAGCACAGGCCAUGAUGAAGCGCUGCUGAAAGGCAUGCUGGGUAAUAGUGACAUGUCACUGAGGCACAUCUGCAACAGGUUGAAGAAAACGCAGCCGAAGCCAAGACUGAUUAUGUGUAACUCUGAGUGGAGAGACCCGAGAAUAUCACAGAGAUCGCCUAGCAACCACUCAGAAUACCCAACUGCAUAGCAACGCCCUGGCAACCGCCCACAAAACUCUAUC